CAAAAUGGGAGGUAAAUUUCUCCUAAGGCUAAAUAUUGGCGAGAGACCGAUAGCGAACAAGUACCGUGAGGGAAAGAUGAAAAGAACUUUGAAAAGAGAGUUAAACAGUACGUGAAAUUGUUGAAAGGGAAACGAUUGAAGUCAGUCAUACCAACGGGAAAUCAACCUUUUGAGCUUGGUCUCGUGGGUUUUGAAGAGUUUCAAAGCCUUCGGAUUCGCGGGAUUGGGAUCUCUUGGUGUACUUUUUCGUACGGUUAGUCAACAUCGGUUUUGAAUGUCAUAAAAUGACUGGAGGAAUGUAGCUUCGAUCUCGUAUUGAAGUGUUAUAGCCUUUGGUAGAUGUGAUGUUUGAGACCGAGGAUUGCAACGGAUACCCUUCAGGGCUAUUCGUCUGAUCUCUGAUACGUUGCCUUGAUGUUGAAAGCUUGCUUAUGAUGUUAGGGUAUUACGGUCAAAAGGUUAGAACGAAUUACA
RNAcentral lists this ribosomal RNA (474 nucleotides) under Funneliformis mosseae. RNAcentral describes it as "eukaryotic LSU rRNA". It matches the Rfam family "Eukaryotic large subunit ribosomal RNA", at positions 288 to 628 of the family's 3401-position model. The record is from RNAcentral. Lineage: Eukaryota; Fungi; Glomeromycota; Glomeromycetes; Glomerales; Glomeraceae.